GGUGAACGCUGGCGGCGUGCCUAAGACAUGCAAGUCGAGCGGGGCAGGUUUAUACCUGUUCAGCGGCGGACGGGUGAGUAACGCGUGGGUGACCUACCCGGAAGAGGCGGACAACCUGGGGAAACCCAGGCUAAUCCGCCAUGUGGUCCUGUCCUGUGGGGCAGGACUAAAGGGGCGACCCACUUCCGGAUGGGCCCGCGUCCCAUCAGCUAGUUGGUGGGGUAAAGGGGCAACAAGGCGACGACGGGUAGCCGGUCUGAGAGGCUGGCCGGCCACAGGGGCACUGAGGCACGGGCCCCACUCCUACGGGAGGCAGCAGUUAGGAAUCUUCCGCAAUGGCCGGAAGUCUGACGGAGCGACGCCGCUUGGAGGCGGAAGCCCUUCGGGGUGUAGACUCCUGAACUGCGGACGAAAGCGCCGUGUAGGGGGAUGACGGUACCCAGGUAAUAGCGCCGGCCAACUACGUG
RNAcentral lists this ribosomal RNA (467 nucleotides) under uncultured bacterium. RNAcentral's name for it is "partial 16S ribosomal RNA". It matches the Rfam family "Bacterial small subunit ribosomal RNA", at positions 28 to 507 of the family's 1533-position model. The record is from RNAcentral.